This 661-nucleotide long non-coding RNA is filed under the name Elaeis guineensis (African oil palm). RNAcentral describes it as "long non-coding RNA (EGUI_LNC021035)". The record is from RNAcentral. Lineage: Eukaryota; Viridiplantae; Streptophyta; Magnoliopsida; Arecales; Arecaceae.
CUGAUCUACUACAUCAAUUUCUGAACUUCUAUGAUAGCUCAUGAUCUAUCAUGUUAGUCUGUAUACUGCUACGCUAGCUUAUGCUCUAUCACUUUAGUUUUUAAACUACUACUCCAACUCCUAAUCUAUCAUCAUGUCAACUUUUGAGCUACAAUAUCAGCUUUUAGUUUACUACAUCUGAGCUGCUACUUUAGCUUCUGAUUUUUCACAUUAGCUUCUAAGUACAUCUGUAAUCUGAUUUUCAAACACAAGUUGGCAUCUGCAGUACUAUCUUGAGUUUGAGGGGGGGUGUUAGCAUGAUUUAGGUGAUCACAUAAUUUUAUGGAUUAUAUGAUUUUAAUGAUCGCAUGAUUUUAGAUGAUCAUAUGAUUUUAGAGAUCGCAUGACAACUCAUAUUGGCUCAUAAUAUUUUUUCUUUGUUAACAUGAGUGUACUAGUAUAUAUAACCCAUGAGAUGUAUCAAAUAUGAUUUGAACCGAAAUAUAAAGGAUAUUUUCUCUCUCUUUCUUCAGUUAUUCUGCAAAUAUUUUAACACGUACAGAUGAUUGAACCAUUUAUAACUAUAACAUGCACAUCAUUAAUACAUGCAGUAAUUUACAUCAGAACAUAGGAACUUUUGUUUUGGAUGGUCAGCAAUGUAUGACAUCCUCCAACCAAGGUG